RNAcentral lists this ribosomal RNA (409 nucleotides) under Pseudomonadota bacterium. RNAcentral describes it as "partial 16S ribosomal RNA". It matches the Rfam family "Bacterial small subunit ribosomal RNA", at positions 1 to 395 of the family's 1533-position model. Lineage: Bacteria; Pseudomonadati; Pseudomonadota. RNAcentral also lists the same sequence under 1 other name. The record is from RNAcentral.
UCAACGGAGAGUUUGAUCCUGGCUCAGGACGAACGCUGGCGGUGUGCCUCAAACAUGCAAGUCGAGGGAGGGUUGGCGCCUAGCCAACUAGGCGUUUCAACUCUACCGGCGAACGGGUGAGUAACACGUGGGUAACCUGCCCUGAAGACGGGGACAACCUCGGGAAACCGGGGCUAAUACCCGAUACCCUCCUCGGGGGGCAUCCUCUGGGGAGGAAAGAUCGCAAGAUCGCUUCAGGCGGGGCCCGCGGCCUAUCAGCUCGUUGGUGGGGUAACGGCCCACCAAGGCGAUGACGGGUAGCUGGUCUGAGAGGACGGCCAGCCACACUGGGACUGAGACACGGCCCAGACUCCUACGGGAGGCAGCAGUUGGGAAUCUUGGGCAAUGGGCGCAAGCCUGACCCAGCGAC